Molecule: long non-coding RNA, 243 nt
Filed under: Lathyrus oleraceus (garden pea)
Lineage: Eukaryota; Viridiplantae; Streptophyta; Magnoliopsida; Fabales; Fabaceae
Description: Pisum sativum (pea) long non-coding RNA (PSAT_LNC011678)
Source: RNAcentral
UCAAAUGAAUUUUUGCCCAACAUGAAAGUUGAAGAUCUUGUUCUCCCAUUUUCAAAAAGUCCAAGAACUCUCAAAUCCCAUGAAUGGUUUGCAAGAUAUGAUCAUUUCAUUUUCACAUUUUUUUGAACUUCAACAAGCCAUAUCUCAUGAACCAAAAGGCCAAAUCUAGUGGGGUUUUUUCCUACAAACCACAUUUCAUCUCCUCUUUCCAAAAAUAUAAACAUCAUGUACCAAAACCUUGCC